UACGAAGGUGGCAAGCGUUGUUCGGAUUUACUGGGCGUACAGGGAGCGUAGGCGGUCCGGUAAGCCCUCCGUGAAAUCUCCAGGCUCAACCUGGAAAGUGCAGAGGGGACUGCCGGGCUAGAGGAUGGGAGAGGAGCGCGGAAUUCCCGGUGUAGCGGUGAAAUGCGUAGAGAUCGGGAGGAAGGCCGGUGGCGAAGGCGGCGCUCUGGAACAUUUCUGACGCUGAGGCUCGAAAGCGUGGGGAGCAAACAGG
This 253-nucleotide ribosomal RNA is filed under the name uncultured bacterium. RNAcentral describes it as "partial 16S ribosomal RNA". It matches the Rfam family "Bacterial small subunit ribosomal RNA", at positions 524 to 776 of the family's 1533-position model. The record is from RNAcentral.